This 300-nucleotide ribosomal RNA is filed under the name uncultured Desulfurococcus sp. Its description in RNAcentral is "bacterial SSU rRNA". It matches the Rfam family "Bacterial small subunit ribosomal RNA", at positions 497 to 795 of the family's 1533-position model. Lineage: Archaea; Thermoproteati; Thermoproteota; Thermoprotei; Desulfurococcales; Desulfurococcaceae. The record is from RNAcentral.
CUAAACUGGUGUCAGCGGCUGGGGGAAUACGGAGGGGGGGAGCGUUAAACGGAAUUACUGGGCGUAAAGUGAGUGUAUGUGGCUCAUUAAGUCACAUGUGAAAUCCCCGGGCUUAACCUGGGAACUGCAUGUGAUACUGGUGGUGCUAGAAUAUGUGAGAGGGAAGUAGAAUUCCAGGUGUAGCGGUGAAAUGCGUAGAGAUCUGGAGGAAUACCGAUGGCGAAGGCAGCUUCCUGGCAUAAUAUUGACACUGAGAUUCGAAAGCGUGGGUAGCAAACAGGAUUAGAUACCCUAGUAGUC